RNAcentral lists this ribosomal RNA (899 nucleotides) under uncultured bacterium. RNAcentral describes it as "bacterial SSU rRNA". It matches the Rfam family "Bacterial small subunit ribosomal RNA", at positions 8 to 904 of the family's 1533-position model. The record is from RNAcentral.
AGAGUUUGAUCCUGGCUCAGGAUGAACGCUGGCGGCGUGCCUAAUACAUGCAAGUCGAACGAAUCUUCUUCGGAAGAUGAGUGGCGAACGGGUGAGUAAUACAUAGGUAACCUGCCCCUGUGCGGGGGAUAACAGGAGGAAACUCCUGCUAAUACCGCAUAGCCAUGAGCACCGCAUGGAGCUCAUGCCAAAUAUCCUUUCGGGGAUAGCGCAGGGAUGGACCUAUGGCGCAUUAGCUGGUUGGCGGGGCAACGGCCCACCAAGGCAACGAUGCGUAGCCGGCCUGAGAGGGCGGACGGCCACAUUGGGACUGAGACACGGCCCAGACUCCUACGGGAGGCAGCAGUAGGGAAUUUUCGGCAAUGGGGGAAACCCUGACCGAGCAACGCCGCGUGAGCGAAGAAGGCCUUCGGGUCGUAAAGCUCUGUUGUAAAGGAAGAACGGCGCAUACAGGAAAUGGUAUGCGAGUGACGGUACUUUACCAGAAAGCCACGGCUAACUACGUGCCAGCAGCCGCGGUAAUACGUAGGUGGCGAGCGUUAUCCGGAAUCAUUGGGCGUAAAGAGGGAGCAGGCGGCCGCAAGGGUCUGUGGUGAAAGACCGAAGCUAAACUUCGGUAAGCCAUGGAAACCGGGCGGCUAGAGUGCGGAAGAGGAUCGUGGAAUUCCAUGUGCAGCGGUGAAAUGCGUAGAUAUAUGGAGGAACACCAGUGGCGAAGGCGACGGUCUGGGCCGCAACUGACGCUCAUUCCCGAAAGCGUGGGGAGCAAAUAGGAUUAGAUACCCUAGUAGUCCACGCCGUAAACGAUGGUCACUAAGUGUCGGGGGUCAAACCCCGGUGCUGCAGUCAACGCAAUAAGUGACCCGCCUGAGUAGUACGUUCGCAAGAAUGAAACUCAA